ACCAGGCAUUCUUGACAUGAGUUCAGCCUCACUAUCUGUUUCACCAAGCAAUGCAGUCCCUACAUUCAGAGAAGACUGAGGCUGCUCUUUUUCCUCCACUUGUAGCUCUAUUCAGCUUCCAGGAUGAGCACCAGCAUGCAGAACUUAAAAGAACUUAAAAUCAGUGGAACAAAAAAGGAGCAAGGACCACAUCUACUGCAUCAUAUUGAAGACUUUUUCCAAUUCUUCCAAGAGUUCAAACCCAAAUCUACUAAUUGUUCUGAUGAAGAUGGAUGCAAUUGUCUCUCUGUGGGGUCCGUG
This is a non-coding RNA of Pantherophis guttatus, 300 nucleotides long. The record is from RefSeq and is a predicted model, not a curated record. NCBI's taxonomy places the organism in Eukaryota, Metazoa, Chordata, Lepidosauria, Squamata, Colubridae.